Molecule: ribosomal RNA, 541 nt
Filed under: uncultured bacterium
Lineage: Bacteria
Description: partial 16S ribosomal RNA
Rfam family: Bacterial small subunit ribosomal RNA
Source: RNAcentral
UGGGGAAUAUUGCACAAUGGGCGAAAGCCUGAUGCAGCAACGCCGCGUGAGUGAUGAAGGUCUUCGGAUUGUAAAGCUCUGUCUUUUGGGACGAUAAUGACGGUACCAAAGGAGGAAGCCACGGCUAACUACGUGCCAGCAGCCGCGGUAAUACGUAGGUGGCGAGCGUUGUCCGGAUUUACUGGGCGUAAAGGGUGCGUAGGCGGAUGUUUAAGUGAGAUGUGAAAUACCCGGGCUUAACUUGGGUGCUGCAUUUCAAACUGGAUAUCUAGAGUGCAGGAGAGGAGAAUGGAAUUCCUAGUGUAGCGGUGAAAUGCGUAGAGAUUAGGAAGAACACCAGUGGCGAAGGCGAUUCUCUGGACUGUAACUGACGCUGAGGCACGAAAGCGUGGGUAGCAAACAGGAUUAGAUACCCUGGUAGUCCACGCCGUAAACGAUGAGUACUAGGUGUAGGAGGUAUCGACCCCUUCUGUGCCGCAGUAAAACACAUUAAGUACUCCGCCUGGGAAGUACGAUCGCAAGAUUAAAAACUCUAAAAGUG